AAACAUGCAAGUCGAGCGAGAAAGUUUCUUCGGAAAUUAGUAAAGCGGCAAACUGGUGAGUAACGCGUGAAUAAUCUACCUUUGGGAUGGGGAUAACCUCGGGAAACUGGGGCUAAUACCGGAUGAGGCUGUAUCCACAUAGGGUACAGUGAAAGGGGUGGUUUUGCUACCUGCCUGGAGAUGAGUUCGCGUCUGAUUAGCUUGUUGGUGGGGUAAAGGCCUACCAAGGCGACGAUCAGUAGCCGGCCUGAGAGGGUGUACGGCCACAUUGGAACUGAGAUACUGUCCAGACUCCUACGGGAGGCAGCAGUUAAGGAUCUUGCGCAAUGGGCGUAAGCCUGACGCAGCGACGCCGCGUGAGCGAUGAAGGCCUUAUCGGUUGUAAAGCUCAUUAAAUAGGGACGAAUAAUGGAUGUUUUAUAGAUGUUCAGAUGACGGUACCUAUUGAAAGCCCCGGCUAAUUACGUGCCAGCAGCCGCGGUAAUACGUAUGGGGCGAGCGUUGUUCGGAAUUAUCGGGCGUAAAGGGAGCGUAGGCGGGAUAUUAAGUCAAUUGUGAAAGGUCACGGCUCAACCGUGGGAUUGCAUUUGAAACUGAUAUCCUAGAGUCUGAGAGAGGGAGACGGAAUUCCUGGUGUAGCGGUGAAAUGCAUAGAUAUCAGGAAGAACACCGGUGGCGAAGGCGGUCUCCUGGCUUAAGACUGACGCUGAGGCUCGAAAGCAUGGGGAGCGAACGGGAUUAGAUACCCCGGUAGUCCAUGCCCUAAGCGUUGUGUACUAGGUGUUGGAGGAGUCAACCCCUCCGGUGCCGACGUUAACGCAUUAAGUACACCGCCUGGGGAGUAUGCUCGCAAGGGUGAAACUCAAAGGAAUUGACGGGGGCCCGCACAAGCGGUGGAGCAUGUGGUUUAAUUCGACGAUACGCGAAGAACCUUACCUGGGCUGAACUACGGCCUGACGAGUGCAGAGAUGCGCUUUCCCUUCGGGGCAGGUCGAUAGGUGCUGCAUGGCUGUCGUCAGCUCGUGUUGUGAGAUGUUGGGUUAAGUCCCGCAACGAGCGCAACCCCUAUUCCUUGUUGCUAACAGGUAAUGCUGUGCACUCUAGGAAAACUGUCGGUGCAAGCCGAAGGAAGGCGGGGAUGACGUCAAGUCAUCACGGCACUUAUGUCCAGGGCUACACACGUGCUACAAUGGCCGGUACAGAGAGUCCCGAGUCUGCGAGGCGGAGGUAAUCUCAAAAAACCGGUCUCAGUUCGGAUCGUAGUCUGCAACUCGACUGCGUGAAGUCGGAAUCGCUAGUAAUCGUAGAUCAGCAUGCUACGGUGAAUACGUUCCCGGGCCUUGUACACACCGCCCGUCACACCACCCGAGUUGGGAGCACCCGAAGUGGCUGAGCUAACCGCAAGGAGGCAGGUUACUAAGGUGAACUUGGUAAGGGGGGUGAAGUCGUAACAAGGUA
RNAcentral lists this ribosomal RNA (1458 nucleotides) under metagenome. RNAcentral describes it as "bacterial SSU rRNA". It matches the Rfam family "Bacterial small subunit ribosomal RNA". The record is from RNAcentral.